GAGUCGAGUUUGAGGGGUGUGGAUGGGGGCCGACAGGGAGAGCAGAGGAGACUGAACAGGGAGAGAGGAUUCCGAGCUGAGGAACGAAGGGGAAACUGAGAGGGCAAAAGGAUGACAGAAAGAAAGGAAGGCUGAGGAGAGAAGGAAGGCAGGGGAAGAGAGAGAGGGUUAAGGAGCUAAAUGGGGGGUUGGGUAAUUUGUCCAAGAUCCGAGAAGAAAGAAGGAGAGAUGAAGAGAAAGGAUGCAUUUGAGGGGCCACACGGGCUGAAGCAGGGAAAUCGGGCAUCGAGAGAGGGACUUUUCAAAUCUCACUAUCCAGACUGAAUAAGAGACAGAAAUUUCCUUUUCACACAAUGGCUCUGAAAAGGAAAAGCAUUAGAGAAGCAAAGACAGAGAAAGGCGCAAUAGGGAGGUGAGAGAGAGGGAGAAGCAGGAAAGGACAACUGGAAGGUAAUAGCAAAGAAAAGAGAGAGGGAGAGCGACAGAGAACUAAUGGGGAAGACCAGGAGGAAGGUCCAUUUUAUGAGCGGCAGAGGUGACUGAGGAGACCCUUCAAACUGCAGUGGAGAAGAGGCUCCCCACACUCCCCCCUCCUUAAAAAUCCUGCAGAGGAAGGGGGAAAGAAAACCAAAGCAUUCUGUCGCCGCGGCAACCAUAAAACCC
RNAcentral lists this long non-coding RNA (663 nucleotides) under Pan troglodytes (chimpanzee). Its description in RNAcentral is "long non-coding RNA NONPTRT003444". Lineage: Eukaryota; Metazoa; Chordata; Mammalia; Primates; Hominidae. The record is from RNAcentral.